Molecule: ribosomal RNA, 878 nt
Filed under: uncultured bacterium
Lineage: Bacteria
Description: bacterial SSU rRNA
Rfam family: Bacterial small subunit ribosomal RNA
Source: RNAcentral
GGCUAGAGUUUGAUCAUGGCUCAGGAUGAACGCUAGCUACAGGCUUAACACAUGCAAGUCGAGGGGCAUCAGGAAGAAAGCUUGCUUUCUUUGCUGGCGACCGGCGCACGGGUGAGUAACACGUAUCCAACCUGCCCUUUACUCGGGGAUAGCCUUUCGAAAGAAAGAUUAAUACCCGAUAGCAUAAUGAUUCCGCAUGGUUUCAUUAUUAAAGGAUUCCGGUAAAGGAUGGGGAUGCGUUCCAUUAGGUUGUUGGUGAGGUAACGGCUCACCAAGCCUUCGAUGGAUAGGGGUUCUGAGAGGAAGGUCCCCCACAUUGGAACUGAGACACGGUCCAAACUCCUACGGGAGGCAGCAGUGAGGAAUAUUGGUCAAUGGGCGUUAGCCUGAACCAGCCAAGUAGCGUGAAGGAUGAAGGCUCUAUGGGUCGUAAACUUCUUUUAUAUAAGAAUAAAGUGCAGUAUGUAUACUGUUUUGUAUGUAUUAUAUGAAUAAGGAUCGGCUAACUCCGUGCCAGCAGCCGCGGUAAUACGGAGGAUCCGAGCGUUAUCCGGAUUUAUUGGGUUUAAAGGGAGCGUAGGUGGACUGGUAAGUCAGUUGUGAAAGUUUGCGGCUCAACCGUAAAAUUGCAGUUGAUACUGUCAGUCUUGAGUACAGUAGAGGUGGGCGGAAUUCGUGGUGUAGCGGUGAAAUGCUUAGAUAUCACGAAGAACUCCGAUUGCGAAGGCAGCUCACUGGACUGCAACUGACACUGAUGCUCGAAAGUGUGGGUAUCAAACAGGAUUAGAUACCCUGGUAGUCCACACAGUAAACGAUGAAUACUCGCUGUUUGCGAUAUACAGUAAGCGGCCAAGCGAAAGCAUUAAGUAUUCCACCUG